RNAcentral lists this ribosomal RNA (849 nucleotides) under uncultured bacterium. Its description in RNAcentral is "bacterial SSU rRNA". It matches the Rfam family "Bacterial small subunit ribosomal RNA", at positions 70 to 896 of the family's 1533-position model. The record is from RNAcentral.
AAAGUCCCCUUCGGGGGAUAAGUAGAGUGGCGCACGGGUGAGUAACACGUAGGUAAUCUACCUUCGGGUGGGGAAUAACCCAGGGAAACUUGGGCUAACACCGCAUAAUGCAGCGGCACCACAUGGUGACAGUUGUUAAAGCGGGGGAUCUUAGGACCUCGCGCCUGAAGAGGAGCCUGCGGCGGAUUAGCUAGUUGGUGAGGUAACGGCUCACCAAGGUGACGAUCCGUAGCCGGCCUGAGAGGGCGGUCGGCCACACUGACACUGACAUACAGGUCAGACUCCUACGGGAGGCAGCAGUCGGGAAUUUUGGGCAAUGGGCGAAAGCCUGACCCAGCAACGCCGCGUGAAGGAUGAAAUCCCUCGGGAUGUAAACUUCGCAAGAAUGGGAAGAAUUAGUAGGGGUCAAUACCCCCUAUGAUGACGGUACCAUUUGUAAGCUCCGGCUAACUCCGUGCCAGCAGCCGCGGUAAUACGGGGGGAGCAAGCGUUGUUCGGAUUUACUGGGCGUAAAGGGCGCGUAGGCGGUCAGCACAAGUCAGUUGUGAAAUCUCCGGGCUUAACUCGGAAAGGUCAACUGAUACUGUGCGACUAGAGUGCGGAAGGGGCAACUGGAAUUCUCGGUGUAGCGGUGAAAUGCGUAGAUAUCGAGAGGAACACCUGCGGCGAAGGCGGGUUGCUGGGCCGACACUGACGCUGAUGCGCGAAAGCCAGGGGAGCGAACGGGAUUAGAUACCCCGGUAGUCCUGGCCUUAAACGAUGGAUGCUUGGUGUCUGGGGUUUUAUAGUCCCCGGGUGCCGCAGCUAACGCGUUAAGCAUCCCGCCUGGGGAGUACGGUCGCAAGACUG